UUGCAGUGCUGUGUGUCAAACCCCAGGGCCUCAUGCACGCUAGGACAGUGCUCUGCCACCGAGCUGUAUCCCCAGCCCUGGGCUGCAUUCCGGGACCACCGCAGGGCGGCAGGUGCAGAGCGCCCCCAGGCGGUGGGAAGUUUUCAGCUCCUUUGCAGUCUUAGGAACCGCCACUGUCCUGUGGCCCGCGGCGCACUGAAAUGUCAUCCCGUGGGGCCUGAGUGUAAUUCUCACGGCCCCAGCAACUGCUGAUCAAACUCGUGUUCCUGUCCAUGUUGCUGCUGCUCGCGUUUCCUACAGAGGGGAGCCAGAGUUGGGGUGAGCAGGGGCUGCUGGCCUGGGCUGCGAGUGUCAGGCAGUGCCCCAGCACUUCUGGAAGCCGAGGCAGGAGGACUGCAAGCUGGAGCCUGGCCUGGGCAAUGAAAAAGAAAAGGGAGGAAGGUGAGCACUGGGAAUGCAGCUCAGUGUAAAGAUCCUGGUUUCAAUCGCGGAACUGCGGGGGGGGGGGGUCACCAAAACAACAGCAGCACUCAGCUUCGGAAGUGUCAGAGCAACCUCGCGAAGCAGGGACUAUUGUCACCCCCAUUUACGGGAGAGGAAAUGGAGCCCUGAGACCUCAGGGGAGUGCAGGCAGCCAGUGCCCGGCAGGCUGGGAUUUGGGUGUGGGCAGAGCCGCGGUUCCAGCCACAUCCUUAGGGGAAACAGCGGGGGAGAGCCAGGGCACUGUCCCCUUCAUUUAACAGCACCACUGCCGACCCGCGGCCGCCGGCCCCUCUCCAGCCCGCCCCUGAUUCCCUGGACUUCUCGGACGCUUUCCCUCGCCGGUCUGCUUCCGCUGAAAUUUAACCCUCCCUGGAGGGCCCCGCCCGCUCCGCGAGCUUCUGAAAGGAGAGCUGUUUAUUUUCUUCUAGGUGAGGGCCCGCAGCACUCGGCUCCUGUUUGCCGCCUCCAGACACCUCCUCCCCCUGCCACCCCCAAUUUCUGCUUAAAACAGCCUUCUGUCCCAGGCUAGCCUUUUGUUUUUGAAACACAGAUCGCUCUAGGUAGUCCAAGCUGAUGUUGAACCCGCAAUCCUCCUGCCUCAGCCUCCCCUGCUGCCUUCUGCUGGGAUGACAGGUGUGUGCCUGCAACAGCAGUUUAUGUUAUACUGGACUUGUCCCUGCUGGUUGCUGUCACCUGCCACCUGCCAGCCCUCUCUUCCCAGCGCCGGGGACGCUAGCUCGGCUGCCUGUAUCUUCCCAUUGAGUCUCUCAGCUGGGCAGCCUCACGGUCUGCGCAGAGGGCAGUUUGUCUCCCUGGCCUCUCACCAUGUGGCGGCUUUGUCCCCAAGGACCUGCUCCACUCCAGCCGAACCACAUCCCUGAUCUCAGCCCAGGAAGGAGGUCCCACGAUCAGUUUCUCCAGGACUUCACUCUGGCAGCUGGGAGUGUUGGGGGAUCUCACAACCAGGAGGCGGCCGCCCCUGUUCACUGGGGGCCCUCAGUGCUAAGCAGACACCGGCAUCGCUGACGGGGCCCUGACCUCGGCAUCUGCGAGGCACUGUGCUCCGCUCUCAGCGGGAGAUUUCAUUCUUCCAUCACAACCGAAGCCAUCAGAGGGGAGUCCCAGGUCACCUGCUGCCCUGCACUCCUCCACGCCUGUGGCCAUCCUGCUCCUAUAACCAUUUCCAUGCACUCAACCUCUAUGGCCAAGACAGAGGACAGCCUGCCUGCUGCUCCAACUGGCAGCAGAUCUUGGCAUCAUCCAUGUGGCGCUAGUUUUAGGUGCAUGCAGAAUGCAAGAGUUCUGGGAUUGGGAAACUUCCACCCAAAUUUUAGAAGAAGCCUGGGAGGUUUGGCAAUGAGCUUCUGAGAAGACAGUGUGUGAAGCUGUGAGUGUGAAGCCAGAGGUGCAGUGGAGAUCCCAGAAGUCUGGAGAAGGCAGGAGCGUGGGUCCUCUGUGUAAAAAUGCAAGCCGGCUCAAGAGAGAGGCCAUGAGAGCUACAACCACCUGCAGAGCGGUAGGGGUGGAGCUGCCCAAGCUCUUUGGAGUUCACAUCUUGCCACAGAUUGCCUCAGAUACCGCACAGGUUUUAAUGUUUGCCCUGCUGGAUUUUGGACUUGUUUUGAUCCCAUUCCUUUGUAUCCUCUUUGUAUCCCCGUUUGCACUUUUGGAAUGGGAGUGUUUAUCCUGUGCCAUUGAAUGUCGGAAUCUAUCUUUCAUUGUAUGGGGCCUUGCAGCUAAGAGUUUGCCUUAAAUUUCAGAAGAGAUUGGGACUUGGACUUUUCAGCAAGGCUGACUUUGCCAGCUCUUCAACACGGACUGAAUGCCUUUUGCACAAACGGAGUACUUGAAUCUUUGAGGGGCUGGGGAUAUAACAUUAUGGUUUGUUUCUAGAUGUCCCCCCAAAACCCUCAUGUGGUCACAGGCGGGGCUUUUCCAGAGGAUCUGGAGUCUAUGACAUUUGUAGUGUAAUGCUAGGAUUAAGGUGUGAGUGCUAGCUGCUCUAAGGAGGGGAUCAGGGGUACAAUAGCAGGGACCGAAAGAGGCUUGUUGCUGGAUACUUGUAGUUUGUUGCUUGCUGUCUUUUGCCUGCCAUGAUCUGUUUCUCUUUUGCAACGCCUCUCUGCCAUCCCACCCUGCCUUGGAGCCAACUGCGUAUGGACUGAAACCUCUACAAACUGUGAACUAAAAUAAACUUUUCCUUUUUAA
Cavia porcellus (domestic guinea pig) is the source of this 2691-nucleotide long non-coding RNA. RefSeq lists it as uncharacterized. The record is from RefSeq and is a predicted model, not a curated record. Lineage: Eukaryota; Metazoa; Chordata; Mammalia; Rodentia; Caviidae. The transcript is spliced from 2 exons.